UUUGAACUCAACAUAAUUUAAAUGUCUACAACAUAUAAUUUGCCAUUAAACCAAACACCUUUUAACCUCUAGAUCAUUACUUGAUGGAAUACUCCCGUAGAAAAUGAAGAUAUGGUUUCAAAUCGACCUUGACCACGAAGAUUUUUUUCCUUUUAGUAGCAAUCGAAUUUUCACCUCUGUCCCCUAUUUUUCCUUACACCAUUCCUAAAAUCUUUUUCUCAGAUGGCCACAGCGAAAAGGGCUUUCUCAGAAUGCGAAAUGUGGAAGCAUAGACAAGGCGUGCGAACUGUUUGACAGAAUACCUCAAAAAGAUGUGUCCUCGUCGACCGCAAUGAUUGCAGGAUAUGCACAAAUGGAUAUGUUGAAAGGCUUUAGGAAAUUUCGAGUAAAUGUAAUUGGCAGUUAUAAAGCCAAAUUUCACAACCUUUACCAGCGUCCUUGUGCCAAAAUACGAGCUUUGGAAUAGAGAAUGGACUUUUAUCAAAGCAUAGAGAAGUUACAAAUGCCCUGGUAACUGUGUAUGCAAAAUGUAGGAGCACAGACAAGGCAGAUGUACAUAUGAAUUGUUUUGCAAGAUGGGAGCUUUGGAACAGGGCGUGGACAUCCAUUAAAGCAUAAUGGAAGGAAUAUUUUUGAUAAAUGCUGAAAAUACAUAUGGCGAAACAUUUCCUUCCCAUUCAGGUUCAACUUUCCUUCAAAUAUUUUGUACAAAAUGCUGAAUAUUUAGUUCAGGCUAGUCGAGUGCACUCCAUGAGAUUCCAUGGUGUAACCAAACCUUCCACAUCUAUCGUUAAAAUUUUAGAUUUCAAUUUUUAAAUUAAGCAA
Cryptomeria japonica (Japanese cedar) is the source of this 825-nucleotide long non-coding RNA. RefSeq lists it as uncharacterized. NCBI's taxonomy places the organism in Eukaryota, Viridiplantae, Streptophyta, Pinopsida, Cupressales, Cupressaceae. The record is from RefSeq and is a predicted model, not a curated record. The transcript is spliced from 2 exons.